GCCCAGAUGGCGAAAUUGGUAGACGCACAUGGUUCAGAUCCAUGCUCUAUAAAGAUUGGAGGUUCGAGUCCUCUUCUGGGCACCA
This 85-nucleotide transfer RNA is filed under the name Candidatus Kinetoplastidibacterium kentomonadis. RNAcentral describes it as "Candidatus Kinetoplastibacterium sorsogonicusi tRNA-Leu". It matches the Rfam family "tRNA". From Rfam's summary of the family: Transfer RNA (tRNA) molecules are approximately 80 nucleotides in length. Their secondary structure includes four short double-helical elements and three loops (D, anti-codon, and T loops). Lineage: Bacteria; Pseudomonadati; Pseudomonadota; Betaproteobacteria. The record is from RNAcentral.